Molecule: ribosomal RNA, 492 nt
Filed under: uncultured bacterium
Lineage: Bacteria
Description: partial 16S ribosomal RNA
Rfam family: Bacterial small subunit ribosomal RNA
Source: RNAcentral
AGUGAACGCUGGCGGUAGGCCUAACACAUGCAAGUCGAACGGCAGCACAGUGAUAGCUUGCUCUUACGGGUGGCGAGUGGCGGACGGGUGAGGAAUACAUCGGAAUCUACUUUUUCGUGGGGGAUAACGUAGGGAAACUUACGCUAAUACCGCAUACGACCUACGGGUGAAAGCAGGGGAUCUUCGGACCUUGCGCGAUUGAAUGAGCCGAGGUCGGAUUAGCUAGUUGGCGGGGUAAAGGCCCACCAAGGCGACGAUCCGUAGCUGGUCUGAGAGGAUGAUCAGCCACACUGGAACUGAGACACGGUCCAGACUCCUACGGGAGGCAGCAGUGGGGAAUAUUGGACAAUGGGCGAAAGCCUGAUCCAGCCAUACCGCGUGGGUGAAGAAGGUCUUCGGGUUGUAAAGCCCUUUUGUUGGGAAAGAAAAGCAGCAGGUUAAUACCCCGCUGUUCUGACGGUACCCAAAGAAUAAGCACCGGCUAACUUCGUG